Non-coding RNA from Triticum aestivum (bread wheat), 131 nucleotides. The record is from Rfam. Lineage: Eukaryota; Viridiplantae; Streptophyta; Magnoliopsida; Poales; Poaceae.
CAACUACUCCCUCUGUCCCAAAAUUCUUGUGUUAGAUUUGUCUAGAUACGGAUGUAUCAAGUCACAUUGACUUGAUACAUCCGUAUCUAGAAAAAUCUAAGACAAGAAUUUUGGGACAGAGGGAGUACUUU